GCGGGCACGGCCCCCGGGUGGCCUAUCAGAACAUCAGAGGGGAGCAGCAGCAACCUGCUCACAGACAUUAACAACAACCCUACUCAGAAGAUGGUUCUGAUAGGCUACUGGGGGGCCAUGCACCCCGGGUGAGAAUCACUGGGGGAAGGGGGAUGGAGAAGGCUACAGAGAAGGAAGGGUGAGCAGAUGGAGGAGGUGUCAGAGUCAUGACUGUCAGACUUGGGAGGAAAGGUCCUGUCAGGCAGGAGGAAGACAGUGAGCAACUGGAUGCAGUGCAGGAGGAAGGUGUGAGGAAGGGUCCUGUCAGGCAGGAGGAAGACAGUGAGCAACUGGAUGCAGUGCAGGAGGGUGUGAGGAAGGGUGAGAGCUGUGAGAGGGUUUCCUGUCAGGGGCAGGGAGAGCACUGCCCACUGUGCUUCCUGUACUGACAAAGGUGGGUUCCAAAUGUGACUGGUUGUCCAUGGGGAGACAGAAGCAGAGGAUAAUGGAGUUUGCAGUGCAUAGGAGCUCAUGGUGGGAGAUGAUUGCUGAGGCCGGAGAGGGAUUCAGGGACUAGAGUACCAAGUCAGGUGUUUCUUUGGGGUGAUGGAAGAAGACAAAAACAUUAGGGUUGGAAUAAGGUAGUAGAAUCCUGGGCAGGUCCUUAAGAGUGCUUUCAGAAGGAUCUGAAAGAAUAAAUGUAGAAGGUUGGGUAUGGUGGCACAUGCCCAAAACCUCCAAUCUCAGGAGGCUAAGGGUAUAGAAUGUCAUGCUGAAGGUUAGUCUGCCAUACAUAGCAAGACUCUGUCUCAUAAAGAUGUAAAAGGGACAUCUAAAAGAGGGAGGGGAGCCAUGGUUGUUGGGAGUCAGAAACAACACGCAUUUUGUAGGCAUAGGGUGGUAUGCCUGAGAGGCUGGGUAGAAUGUGUGGGUUUGGUGAAGUCUGUCUAAUGAAAAAAGUACUGAAUAUAUUUUCAUUUGUUGGGAGUGAGUAAGGUUCAGGGAACAUCUUUAGCAGAGAAGAUUGUCAUCAAAAUAGCAUAGCUAGCAUGGUCUGGGAUGAAUUCAUGUGAUAGAAGGACUCAGUGGAGCUGGUUGGGAACAGGGUGGCAAUAAUUGCAACAGUUAAGGGGAAGUUAGGAAUCCAGUAGACAUAAAGGGGAAAAUUCCUGGGUCCAUGGGGCCACUGGGAGCUAGAACUGGAUAUGGAGAGGAACUGGAGCUUCCCUAGGAAGCACAAUGUGUGAAAACACAGGAGAUGGCUGUGCAAGGGUUACAUUCAGAUUCAGGGUAAGAGGAGGCACGCUGGGGGUGAUGGCAUGGCAAUGUGUCAAGGGAGAGUCAAGCUGGGUCAGUGUAGCUGGUGGGAAACAGAAGAGGGUGCAUCUUAGAAGAGAACUUUGUGGGUUUGUGGUAGUUUCAGCAACAGUCAGGGGGCAAAAAUAAAAAAACAAAACAGAAAAGUAGAUUGCAGAGUUUCCUAAUGGGAACAUUGGCAGAUCUCAGGGGACAGAUUUAUAGGAAUGAUGGUAUUAAUGUCAGAUUUCAGAAGAGAAAAAUGGAAGCAAAGGCCUGGGUACUUAUAGAAUGGAACUGUACGGUGUUUUAGCAAAGGGACAAGAGUGGCUUGAAUUAAUUAGAGGAAACCAGGUGAGGUACACCUUAUUGACUCCUGCAUAGAGAGUCUGUUAGGCCACCUCAGAAAUGUGGGACUGGACUCCUGGAGAGAAUCCAGUAUUAGUGUGGAUAUAGGAUGUGUGAGACUGGUGGAGGCACAGCUGGGUACCAAUGCGGAACAGCCACUUCGUAGUUGACCUCUGAACCUGUGUUUCCACUGUUCAUGAUUGGCUGAAAAGAGAGAGGUGUGUUGUACAACAGAGGCUAUGCAGGGGACAGGAGACGUAGUGAAAUUGGGCAGAGGGCGCAUAACUCUGCAGGGUUGUAGACUUAGUGCACAAAGUAAAUAGAGAAGACAGAAGUGCAAAGGAGGGUCAAUUAGAUGGCUUCCUUUUUGGAAUGGAGAGCAGAUCAGAAUGGAAACUGGGGCUUGUGGAAGAGGGCUUUAAAGUCGCAUCCCUAUUGUGGAGGUAGGUACAGGCUAGAUAUGAAAGAAGAUGGGUGAUCUAGAUAAUCUUAUAACUGUUCAUAGGCAAGUACAACUGACAAAGAUUGCAUUUAGCUUAGGGAAUCCUUUUAUGGAGAAGUGCAAGUUAGAUAGGAAAAGAACAGGAAGUCAGCUGUAAUGAAUGGUCUGUGCUUCUUUUUGAAAGGAAAGAAGAGGAAUAAGCUGGUGUGAGAGGGUGAAAAAAAAAAAAGGCAGCCUUGAGUUAGGUAUAAAGUAGGA
Molecule: long non-coding RNA, 2323 nt
Organism: Apodemus sylvaticus (European woodmouse)
Lineage: Eukaryota; Metazoa; Chordata; Mammalia; Rodentia; Muridae
Exons: 2
Source: RefSeq, a predicted model, not a curated record